Molecule: long non-coding RNA, 211 nt
Filed under: Phoenix dactylifera (date palm)
Lineage: Eukaryota; Viridiplantae; Streptophyta; Magnoliopsida; Arecales; Arecaceae
Description: long non-coding RNA (PDAC_LNC018939)
Source: RNAcentral
GGAGGAUCCGCACCUCAACAGGAAGUGAGCUAGCGGACACCUCAUCUAAGGGGGACUGAGGUGGGUAUCCUAGAAUGGCCGUAAGGGCCUCAGUCCUAUCCUCGGGGUGUGUGGGAGCCACCCCUACUUGUGGAAGGUGGAGGAUGUGGGCAAUGAUAUCCUCCGAAAUGAACAAAGGGACACCGGCUACCGUGCCCUCUAUACCCCCAUC